This is a long non-coding RNA of Cynoglossus semilaevis (tongue sole), 5006 nucleotides long. RefSeq lists it as uncharacterized. Lineage: Eukaryota; Metazoa; Chordata; Actinopteri; Pleuronectiformes; Cynoglossidae. The record is from RefSeq and is a predicted model, not a curated record. The transcript has 3 exons.
GAAAGAAAGAAUUUGCCGCAGGAUGUUGAGCACCAGCUGGAUCAACACCACCCACCAGCAGACGCAUUACGUCACACCGACAACAAAGACCGCGGUCCUGCUGCUGCAGAAACCCACAUGGAAGCUGAAGAAGAGCCCUUGGUAUAAUUUGCAGCUACAAGGAAUGAGCCGAAGAGGAACCUGAGACUUUGUGAGUGACUCCAGCUGCAUGGUUUUCCACCCACGACAAAGAAGGAAGGUAUUUCUAAAUACAAACCCAGUGUGAAAAAAGGGUCAAAAUGCAGUAAAAAAAAUAUAUUGAAGGGAGAAAAAAAACAAACAAACGAACCCAAAAGGCUUCAAUCGACUGAAUAAUUGGUAACAGUCUGCUCAAAUGAUGAAACCAUGGCUCCGUAAACGUAAGUGCUGAUGUAUCACUAGACUGCCUGCAGUCCAGAUGGGUGUCUUACUGUAAAUGUCUGUUGGUUUAGAGAGGAUGAAUCACACAAUGGGCACCACAGAUCUUGGAGACACUCAAAACAGCAUCAAACUACAAACAUCCCUCUUACAAUACUCUCCUUAAUUGGCAAAGCUAGCAAAAAAAAAUGUAAGAGUUUGUUUUGAAAGAAACAAGGAAGAAGCACACUUGUAAAGUUGCCGCUUUUUAGUUCUAAACCCUCGUAAACUAAGUACAAAAGCCUCACACACACAACACAUGCAAACGCACACAGUUCUGGUGCUUUAAUCAGUCACAGAGAGUUUAAUUAAAAAAAAAACCCAGCACAUUUAUUAAAAAAGAAAACACAAACAAGCAGGAAGAAGCAAAUAAACGGUGACCCGUGCUGCGUGCAUAUGCCCACACAGAGGAGGACAACACACAAAUACAUGUGUACGCAAAAGGUCAAAUUACACACACACACACACACUGAGACAGAGCCCUACCCCAUGUGGAUGUGACCCAUUGACCCUUCUGUCACACACAGUGCCCAUCUGCCACAGAGAGGCGCAGAGGGAGGGGACAAGGGUGGAGUGAGUGGGGUCUCGAGAGAGAGGGGGAGGUUAGAUUUUAGGGAGGGGGGGGUCACUCAUUGGGGGUAGGGCACCACAACAACUUACAACACAACAGAGCAAAGGGGGAAUGUGUCUUCAUGGUAAAUUUGGAGUUCACUUUAGCACAGAUGUGCAGUUUACAGGGGUUUUAGUGCUUUUAGACCUCCCUCAGCGCACACACACACACACACACAGACACAGACACAAGAACACACAUACAAACAAAAUGUAUUCCUGUUAGCCGGGGGUGAUCUCUCCAGAACCUCCUGUCUGCCGUCUCCUUUAAACUGGAGCCGUCUCAGUCUUCCCCCUGGUAAAUGAAGGAAAUACUGACGGCAGCAGGCGGACUACUGUCCUGAAUGUAGAACAGAUGAGGAGCAGAGAUGGAUGAGAGUGAUCAGAGCCCUGGGAGGCCUCGUGGCAGAAAGAAGAACUUGUCACCACGUCAAUACUACGACUUUUAGCUCUCAUCCUGGUAUCAUGUUAAUUCUGUGGGCCUAUGCAGUUCAUAUUCAAGUCUGUGGAAAUAUCAGGUUUUCCUCGAUGUGAAAACGGUGUCAAAUUAUGCAAAAAUUACAGACACAGACACCAAAGAGACUCCAGGAAGGAUAGGAUGGGUCUGGUGGGCAAAUAUGGUUAUACUUAAGCAAAUAUAUGAGCUGCUUUUUAUUACCUGGUGUACAUUGGCGUCCACCGCCAAUAUGAUGGCAGUUCCUCCCUGACCACAGCUGCCUGAAAACAGCCAGUAAAACUUGCAGUAAAGUUUUAUUUUCUGUACCGGCAAUGUUCCAUUAUUUUAUUGUUCAGUGAUAUUUGGGGGAAUUAAACCUUCAGUUAAAUGUCUGCUGUAACCGCAGGUGAAAUACAGCACAGUGAUGUAUUAUUUGGUGAAAUGUUUAACUUUGAUUUGCGCGGAAUCAGGUUUGGAGGAAGAAAAAAACAUAUGGACAGAUGACGAAAGGCGGAAAAAAAAAGACAGAAAAAGGUGACAAUUAGGAUGGUGGGUGUGAGGAGCAGAGGAAGCAGGGUGUGUGGAGACUAUCCAGAGGGGACCAACUGUAGUGGUGUCAGACAGAGGGAUGCUGCCAGCUCUCAUCCUUUCAAUGCACACCAGGAGCCAGACACAAACUCAGGGCCAGACUUGAGGGUGUGUGUGUGCCAGCCCCGCCAACUGUGCACCACCACCCAUCCACCCCGUCACACCACAACCCCUGAGGACCCAAUCUGGAAUCAGUCAACAGCAAGCACCGGGGUGCCUGUGUCGCCCUCCUACCGAGUUAGUGACAGAAAUCUCGACCUACGCUCUUCUCACAUUACAACGCCUCCAGGCCAAAGUUGAAUUUGAAGCCGUGUGGAUAUUCUCCCAAAGUAGGGAGUAUGUUUCUACAAUGCCAUGAGCAGUAACUUGUGAAGACAUGAUUCUUUUUGCUCUGCAGCCUUUGUGUACAUGCGUUUGAUUUAUUUUCUCCCCGGGGUGAAGUGAUAGUUCAGGCAACACAUGUUGUCUAAUUUACAGCUGAGGGUAAGAUUUAAAUUCCACUCAUAACCUUUUGUACUCUCUCCUGUUUCCCUGUGUUUGGUUUACAGGCAAUCCAUCUAAUGAGAAACGUCUUGCAAUAUUGCUAGAAAUCCCAUAAUGCAUCUUUAAAGCCCUCUCCAUCUUACACCCGCACUUCUAAGAAACACUAACCCUGAUAACCCUCUUAAUUCCCCCAUCAUGUUUAUGUAAAUUCCAUUUGUAUGUACUAUAUUUACAUAAUGGAUGCUGCUGUCACCUAUGGGAAGGAUCUGCUCUAUAUAAAUCCUUAAUUCUCUGUUGUAGUAAACAAUAUAUGUGAAGUAUGCAAAUGAAAAAAAUAUGUAUUUUUAAUUGGUGAACAAGCCUGAUUAUGCAAAACCUUUUUUUUGUUGUUUUUUUUUUCCAACCAGAAUUGUUGUACUCAAAGAUAAUUUCCCAACCGAAAUCACGUUUCAAACAGUGUGGGUCGACUUGUGACUGUGUUUAUGGUUCUCGCUCACAUCUGAGGCCUUCUUUUUCAAGGGUAAAAUUUCCACAGUGGUCUCAAGUGGUGGUCUGGACGAAACUGAGGGGUGUGGGUGUAAACAAAAAACAGGCCACAUAAAUACAUGCAGAAAUGUACAAACAGAGUCAAAGCCUUUGUUUAAACUUCUCAAGGAGCUCUCCGUAGAUUUAAAUGUAAAGUUCAGGCGUGGACGUGCAAAAUGGCCAGUCGUUGUGGAUAGGAAGACAGGAAGUCUGCAUUUUAAACUGUUUAGGGAAUACAUUUGAGCAUUUAAAAGUAUGGGAACUAAAUGGAAAAAAAAAUAUUUUUACAUACUAUGUAAUAUACAUGUUUUUGAAUACUUUUACAAAAGAGGACUAUUCAUCCUUAUUUAGGCAAAUGACCAAAAAUGAUAAAAGAAGUACACAUUCCACCGCUUUGAAUACUAAACUGCAUCCCUGGCAACUACAAAAAACAGAUUGCAACUGUAUUAAGACUAAUAUUUACUUCAAAUGCAAUGCUAGGAACAGCAAUCAGAUAAAUGUCCUCAACUUUUGCCCGAACGUCCUUUUUUGAUUUUAGUGUUUACAGGUAGUAUUAAUACAAGAUCAAAGAAUGCAGAGCUGCUAUGAAAAGCCAGAGGAGAAUAAGUAAUCUGAAGCAACAAAUGUCAAAAUAAAACUUUUUUUUUUGUCCUAAAAUAAUGCGCGGUCCCAAUCAACACAGGCUUGGGCAACAGUUUCUUUUUGGUAUUUUCAUAUGCAUACGAACUAACUGGAUUUAUUAUUAUCUAGCAAAUUUAAAAAAAAAAAAACAGGAACUAUAUUAAUUUGCAUAAAAGUCGCAUCAAACAUGCCCUUUACUGCAGAAAUGCCCGUGGAAUAUAUCAUUUGUUGGAUGUUGAUGUGGAAACUUUAAUACUUCACAGAACCCUAGCUUGGACAACUGAUUUUUCUGUCCAGUGGACGUUCACUGGUCUCAAAUUAUUCUGCUCUAGUCUUUCAAAACAUUUAGACAAACUUGAACUUGUCAGACUCACUAAAAUAAAUAAUGUCUUUUCGUGCACCAGCCCGCUUUUGCCCUCACUUCUCAGAGAUAUAGUAAACCAUGUUAAUGAUAGUGUAACAUACAGGAGUUUGUAAAUAUGAUGUAAAAUGUUUGGCCGCCGACAUGAACGUGUAUAUGCUGAAAUGUCAUAACAGCAGCAGAAUUAAACUCAUAAUUACCUUGUAUCCAGCGUUGCCAUCAGUGUUGCACAUAUUGCUAAGCAAAUAUCCAGCCCCUUUUUUUCUCUAUAAACAAUUUCCUAUUACAAACACAUGUAGGAAAUGAAUCACUCUUUCGUUCAACCCUCGGUGAGGACAUUUUAGACAAGAUCCCCCUCCUGUUUUCCAUUUGGCUGUUUAAUUGUCUCAACGCUGUCAACAGACUAUCAAGGUAAUUAGCCAUGACUGCACAACAACACAAUCAGACAGACAGGAAUGAAGUGCAGCCUCAGAACAUGAUACUGAGAGUUGGAAUGGGUGGGAAUGAUUUAAUGCGUGCACAUAUGUGGUGUGCACACAUCCUGGUGUGCAACAACACACACAAACCUGCAUACACGGUCAUUACCUUACCCAGAGUACAGAGUUACAUGCCACACAUUAUAUUUCCUCCACCAACCAUAACCCACCACCCACCUCCUCCAUAAUCCUACUACACUCUCACAGCCCUCCUUCUUGAAUACACACACACACACACACACAACAUGAACGAACCCUAAACCUCAUUUCCUCUGUGCCUGAAGCUAUAGGAGCAGUGUUAAUUGCGAGAAGGUGGGAAGAAAAGAAAAAAAAAUGGUGUGCCUUCCAUGUUUUCGUGACUACAUAUGUGUCAGUCUGCGGUAGCAUGAGCUUUGAAGGUGAGUGAGAGCCAUUGUAAGGCUAUGGAUGGAAGUCGGAGUGUUCUUGCGCUCAUUACUUUUAAGUGUGUUAG